GACGACGAUUUGUGACACC
This 19-nucleotide non-coding RNA is filed under the name Arabidopsis thaliana (thale cress). Lineage: Eukaryota; Viridiplantae; Streptophyta; Magnoliopsida; Brassicales; Brassicaceae. The record is from RNAcentral.